Molecule: ribosomal RNA, 446 nt
Filed under: uncultured bacterium
Lineage: Bacteria
Description: bacterial SSU rRNA
Rfam family: Bacterial small subunit ribosomal RNA
Source: RNAcentral
GUGCCAGCAGCCGCGGUAAUACGUAUGUCCCGAGCGUUAUCCGGAUUUAUUGGGCGUAAAGCGAGCGCAGACGGUUCGAUAAGUCUGAAGUGAAAGCCCACAGCUCAACUGUGGAAGUGCUUUGGAAACUGUCGAACUUGAGUGCAGUAGAGGUAAGUGGAACUCCAUGUGUAGCGGUGGAAUGCGUAGAUAUAUGGAAGAACACCAGUGGCGAAGGCGGCUUACUGGACUGCAACUGACGUUGAGGCUCGAAAGUGUGGGUAGCAAACAGGAUUAGAUACCCUGGUAGUCCACACCGUAAACGAUGAACACUAGGUGUUAGAGGGUUUCCGCCCUUUAGUGCCGAAGCUAACGCAUUAAGUGUUCCGCCUGGGGAGUACGACCGCAAGGUUGAAACUCAAAGGAAUUGACGGGGACCCGCACAAGCGGUGGAGCAUGUGGUUUAA